Molecule: transfer RNA, 72 nt
Filed under: Rhodococcus phage Trina
Lineage: Duplodnaviria; Heunggongvirae; Uroviricota; Caudoviricetes
Description: tRNA-Gln
Rfam family: tRNA
About the family: Transfer RNA (tRNA) molecules are approximately 80 nucleotides in length. Their secondary structure includes four short double-helical elements and three loops (D, anti-codon, and T loops).
Source: RNAcentral
UUCCUGAUAGUGUAAUGGCAUCACAAUUGACUCUGGCUCAAUUAAUCUUGGUUCGAAUCCAGGUCGGGAAGC